CAUGAUGUCAUUUUCCUGUGACUAAAAAGUGAUUAGUCACAUGGCAUUUAUGACUCAGGUCAGUCUCAGAGUUGGCUAAAAGAUCCUUGUCCAAACUGAAGGCCCAUGAGCAAAGACGAGAGCAUGCAGCUCUCAGUUUGUUUACUGACCGUUUAAUGCACAUUACACACAAAAAAGCAAGCAUGCAUGACAGAAAUCACCACAUCCAGUCUGAUCGCCAGCUGGGAACAAAGUCAUGUUAAGAUGCUACCAGGAUGAUACAGUGAGCACUGAGGAAAAACAAAUCUGCCAAAGUUUGCAAGCAAGAGACGGCAAGCAUCACCUCAUACCUGCUCUAUCAGGGGACUCUUUUCAAAAAGACUGACUGACAUUAAGAAACUCCAGAGAGCCUCGUGUGGAGCAGCAGAUAAACUGGGUCAAAAAUGUUGACAUGAAAUGUGGAGAUCAGAACUGGGGCUUUAAACUCCGGAUCAAGAUACAACCAUCAAAGCUGAGGAUCCUGCUUGUCCUUUUUCAGAAAAGGGCUCUUUAAAAUAGGCGAAAAAAGACAUGAGAACGAGAUGAUUUUGGGUUAGCGUUAACAUUUUAAACUUUGAUGAAUAUUAAUGUGAUGAUUAGGCCUGCGUGUUUACAUUAUCCCAUCAAUCACAUAGCAAAUCUAAUGAGUAUAAAGAUCAGCUGAUUUUUAAUAACUUAACAGAAAUAACCUUGUGCUGACACUUAAGGGAAGGUUCACCAAAAAUAACUAUCUCCUUCAUUUAUGAUUCCUUGUUGCUCUUUUUUUGGAGCUUUGGGAGUAUAAAUCAUCAUCCACUUGUUCCUCAUAUGGAAAAUAAACUUUCUGUCUUCUCAUUUUGAGUUGUAUUAAAGAAAUUAGUUCACCCAAAAAUCUAACUUUUCUGAAAAUGUACUCAC
Long non-coding RNA from Sinocyclocheilus rhinocerous, 915 nucleotides. RefSeq lists it as uncharacterized. The transcript has 3 exons. The record is from RefSeq and is a predicted model, not a curated record. NCBI's taxonomy places the organism in Eukaryota, Metazoa, Chordata, Actinopteri, Cypriniformes, Cyprinidae.